UUUUAUGGAGAGUUUGAUCCUGGCUCAGGAUGAACGCUGGCGGCGUGCCUAAUACAUGCAAGUCGAGCGAACAGACGAGGAGCUUGCUCCUCUGACGUUAGCGGCGGACGGGUGAGUAACACGUGGAUAACCUACCUAUAAGACUGGGAUAACUUCGGGAAACCGGAGCUAAUACCGGAUAAUAUAUUGAACCGCAUGGUUCAAUAGUGAAAGACGGUUUUGCUGUCACUUAUAGAUGGAUCCGCGCCGCAUUAGCUAGUUGGUAAGGUAACGGCUUACCAAGGCAACGAUGCGUAGCCGACCUGAGAGGGUGAUCGGCCCCACUGGAACUGAGACACGGUCCCGCCUCCUACGGGAGGCAGCAGUAGGGAAUCUUACGCAAU
RNAcentral lists this ribosomal RNA (383 nucleotides) under Staphylococcus epidermidis. RNAcentral describes it as "bacterial SSU rRNA". It matches the Rfam family "Bacterial small subunit ribosomal RNA", at positions 1 to 372 of the family's 1533-position model. The record is from RNAcentral. Lineage: Bacteria; Bacillati; Bacillota; Bacilli; Caryophanales; Staphylococcaceae.